This 129-nucleotide ribosomal RNA is filed under the name Enterobacter sp. 10-1. RNAcentral's name for it is "partial 16S ribosomal RNA". It matches the Rfam family "Bacterial small subunit ribosomal RNA", at positions 1413 to 1533 of the family's 1533-position model. Lineage: Bacteria; Pseudomonadati; Pseudomonadota; Gammaproteobacteria; Enterobacterales; Enterobacteriaceae. RNAcentral also lists the same sequence under 1 other name. The record is from RNAcentral.
GGUUGCAAAAGAAGUAGGUAGCUUAACCUUCGGGAGGGCGCUUACCACUUUGUGAUUCAUGACUGGGGUGAAGUCGUAACAAGGUAACCGUAGGGGAACCUGCGGUUGGAUCACCUCCUUACCUGAAGA